GAGUGAAGAAGGUUUUCGGAUCGUAAAGCUCUGUUGUAAGAGAAGAACGAGUGUGAGAGUGGAAAGUUCACACUGUGACGGUAUCUUACCAGAAAGGGACGGCUAACUACGUGCCAGCAGCCGCGGUAAUACGUAGGUCCCGAGCGUUGUCCGGAUUUAUUGGGCGUAAAGCGAGCGCAGGCGGUUAGAUAAGUCUGCUGUCAAAGACCGGGGCUUAACUUCGGAAAGGCAGUGGAAACUGAACAGCUAGAGUAUGGUAGGGGCAGAGGGAAUUCCUGGUGUAGCGGUGAAAUGCGUAGAGAUCAGGAAGAACAUCGGUGGCGAAGGCGCUCUGCUGGACCAUAACUGACACUCAGGGACG
This 361-nucleotide ribosomal RNA is filed under the name uncultured bacterium. RNAcentral's name for it is "bacterial SSU rRNA". It matches the Rfam family "Bacterial small subunit ribosomal RNA", at positions 401 to 755 of the family's 1533-position model. The record is from RNAcentral.